AGCUCAGCGCCCGCAGCCCGUCAGAGGCCCCAUCAGCAACACCGCCAUCAUGUCUAUCCGAGUCGUGAUUGUAAAAAGCAAAACUUUCAACAACGGAUCUCUUGGUUCUGGCGUCGAUGAAGAACGCAGCGAAAUGCGAUAAGUAGUGUGAAUUGCAGAAUUCAGCGAACGAUCGAAUCUUUGAACGCACAUUGCGCCCUCUGGUAUUCCGGGGGGCACGCCUAUUCGAGCGUCAUUUACACCCUCAAGCCUGGCUUGGUAUUGGGCUCCCGCCCGAGUGGGCGGGGCCUGGAACGCCUGCGGUGGGCGCUGGUCCCCUCUCUUGCACCAGAAGAAGCAUCUUCACGCGAGAGGGGGCCCCAGCCGCCGUCCGGAAAGCACCAAUCUUUUGACCUCGGAUUAGGCGGGAAGACCCGCUGAACUUAAGCAUAUCAAUAAGCGGAGGAAAAGAAACCAACAGGGAUUGCCCCAGUAACGGCGAGUGAAGCGGCAAUAGCUCAAAUUUGAAAUCCGGCCCUCGGGUCUGAGUUGUAAUUUGAAGAGGAUGCCUCGGUGCGGGCCCCGAUCGAAGUUCCUUGGAACAGGACGUCAUAGAGGGUGAGAAUCCCGUCUGUGGUCGGUGGCCCCUACCGUGUGAGGCUCCUUCGACGAGUCGAGUUGUUUGGGAAUGCAGCUCUAAAUGGGAGGUAAAUUUCUUCCAAGGCUAAAUAUCAGCCAGAGACCGAUAGCGCACAAGUAGAGUGAUCGAAAGGUGAAAAGCACUUUGAAAAGAGGGUUAAAAAGCACGUGAAAUUGUUGAAAGGGAAGCGCUUGCCACCAGAGUUGUCCGGGGGGUUCAGCCGACCUUCUGGCUCGGUGUACUUCCUCUCGGGCAGGCCCGCAUCAGUUCGGCCGGCCGGAUAAAGGCCGCGGGAAUGUAGCACCCUCGGGUGUGUUAUAGCCCGCGGUGCAAUACGGCCUGGCUGGACUGA
This 971-nucleotide unclassified non-coding RNA is filed under the name leaf metagenome. RNAcentral's name for it is "partial contains internal transcribed spacer 1, 5.8S ribosomal RNA, internal transcribed spacer 2, and large subunit ribosomal RNA". The stretch from base 390 to 971 matches the Rfam family "Eukaryotic large subunit ribosomal RNA", at positions 1 to 590 of the family's 3401-position model. The record is from RNAcentral.